GGUAUCAGAAGUGCGAAUGCUGACAUAAGUAACGAUAAAGCGGGUGAAAAGCCCGCUCGCCGGAAGACCAAGGGUUCCUGUCCAACGUUAAUCGGGGCAGGGUGAGUCGACCCCUAAGGCGAGGCCGAAAGGCGUAGUCGAUGGGAAACGGGUUAAUAUUCCCGUACUUGGUGUUACUGCGAAGGGGGGACGGAGAAGGCUAUGUUGGCCGGGCGACGGUUGUCCCGGUUUAAGCGUGUAGGUGUGUGUUCCAGGUAAAUCCGGUUCACUUUAACACUGAGGCGUGACGACGAGGCACUACGGUGCUGAAGCAACAAAUGCCCUGCUUCCAGGAAAAGCCUCUAAGCAUCAGGUAACACGAAAUCGUACCCCAAACCGACACAGGUGGUCAGGUAGAGAAUACCAAGGCGCUUGAGAGAACUCGGGUGAAGGAACUAGGCAAAAUGGUGCCGUAACUUCGGGAGAAGGCACGCUGACACGUAGGUGAAGUGAUUUACUCAUGGAGCUGAAGUCAGUCGAAGAUACCAGCUGGCUGCAACUGUUUAUUAAAAACACAGCACUGUGCAAACACGAAAGUGGACGUAUACGGUGUGACGCCUGCCCGGUGCCGGAAGGUUAAUUGAUGGGGUCAGCGCAAGCGAAGCUCCUGAUCGAAGCCCCGGUAAACGGCGGCCGUAACUAUAACGGUCCUAAGGUAGCGAAAUUCCUUGUCGGGUAAGUUCCGACCUGCACGAAUGGCGUAAUGAUGGCCAGGCUGUCUCCACCCGAGACUCAGUGAAAUUGAACUCGCUGUGAAGAUGCAGUGUACCCGCGGCAAGACGGAAAGACCCCGUGAACCUUUACUAUAGCUUGACACUGAACAUUGAGCCUUGAUGUGUAGGAUAGGUGGGAGGCUUUGAAGUGUGGACGCCAGUCUGCAUGGAGCCGACCUUGAAAUACCACCCUUUAAUGUUUGAUGUUCUAACGUGGACCCGUAAUCCGGGUUGCGGACAGUGUCUGGUGGGUAGUUUGACUGGGGCGGUCUCCUCCUAAAGAGUAACGGAGGAGCACGAAGGUUGGCUAAUCCUGGUCGGACAUCAGGAGGUUAGUGCAAUGGCAUAAGCCAGCUUGACUGCGAGCGUGACGGCGCGAGCAGGUGCGAAAGCAGGUCAUAGUGAUCCGGUGGUUCUGAAUGGAAGGGCCAUCGCUCAACGGAUAAAAGGUACUCCGGGGAUAACAGGCUGAUACCGCCCAAGAGUUCAUAUCGACGGCGGUGUUUGGCACCUCGAUGUCGGCUCAUCACAUCCUGGGGCUGAAGUAGGUCCCAAGGGUAUGGCUGUUCGCCAUUUAAAGUGGUACGCGAGCUGGGUUUAGAACGUCGUGAGACAGUUCGGUCCCUAUCUGCCGUGGGCGCUGGAGAACUGAGGGGGGCUGCUCCUAGUACGAGAGGACCGGAGUGGACGCAUCACUGGUGUUCGGGUUGUCAUGCCAAUGGCACUGCCCGGUAGCUAAAUGCGGAAGAGAUAAGUGCUGAAAGCAUCUAAGCACGAAACUUGCCCCGAGAUGAGUUCU
This 1551-nucleotide ribosomal RNA is filed under the name Salmonella enterica subsp. enterica serovar Typhimurium str. ST1489. RNAcentral describes it as "bacterial LSU rRNA". It matches the Rfam family "Bacterial large subunit ribosomal RNA", at positions 1278 to 2812 of the family's 2925-position model. The record is from RNAcentral. Lineage: Bacteria; Pseudomonadati; Pseudomonadota; Gammaproteobacteria; Enterobacterales; Enterobacteriaceae.